GUAGGUGGCAAGCGUUGUCCGGAAUUAUUGGGCGUAAAGCGCGCGCAGGCGGUUCUUUAAGUCUGAUGUGAAAGCCCACGGCUCAACCGUGGAGGGUCAUUGGAAACUGGAGAACUUGAGUACAGAAGAGGAAAGCGGAAUUCCACGUGUAGCGGUGAAAUGCGUAGAGAUGUGGAGGAACACCAGUGGCGAAGGCGGCUUUCUGGUCUGUAACUGACGCUGAGGCGCGAAAGCGUGGGGAGCAAACAGGAUUAGAUACCCCGGUAGUCCACGCCGUAAACGAUGAGUGCUAAGUGUUAGGGGGUUUCCGCCCCCUUAGUGCUGCAGCUAACGCAUUAAGCACUCCGCCUGGGGAUACGGCCGCAAGGCUG
This 371-nucleotide ribosomal RNA is filed under the name uncultured organism. RNAcentral's name for it is "partial 16S ribosomal RNA". It matches the Rfam family "Bacterial small subunit ribosomal RNA", at positions 527 to 896 of the family's 1533-position model. The record is from RNAcentral.